GCCCCCGUAGCUCAGGCGGAUAGAGCACCGGAUUCCUAAUCCGGGCGUCGCAGGUUCGAGUCCUGCCGGGGGCACCA
Molecule: transfer RNA, 77 nt
Filed under: Deltaproteobacteria bacterium
Lineage: Bacteria; Pseudomonadati; Myxococcota; Myxococcia
Also listed under: 3 other names
Description: tRNA-Arg
Rfam family: tRNA
About the family: Transfer RNA (tRNA) molecules are approximately 80 nucleotides in length. Their secondary structure includes four short double-helical elements and three loops (D, anti-codon, and T loops).
Source: RNAcentral